RNAcentral lists this long non-coding RNA (1277 nucleotides) under Volvox carteri. RNAcentral's name for it is "long non-coding RNA (VCAR_LNC002666)". Lineage: Eukaryota; Viridiplantae; Chlorophyta; Chlorophyceae; Chlamydomonadales; Volvocaceae. The record is from RNAcentral.
GGUGGUGAAGGCGCGUCAGGCGGGCAAAUAUUCAGGAGACGCCCACCAUUCCGGUCUGUCACUUGGGUUGGUGCGUGCGCGUCUGCAUGUGCCUAUGUCUGUAACCAGCUGUACUACUGAAAUAGGCGCGCGUGUGCAUAUGUACCUAAGUAUUUACGUCUGUAUGUAUGUAUGUAUCAAGCGGACUAUUGCGCAGCGUUGGACAUCGGGCCCUAUGUCGGCAACACUGACUGUAAAUCGGAGGUAGAGGAGGUAAGAUGUGCGUGUGUAUGUAUGUGUGUGUGUGUGGCCCUAUUGGGAAAAGUAGGAGGGUUUGAUGGUGCAGGGUGUGCAGGAGGCAGCACGUUUGUUUGUGUGGUAUUUGUGUGGUCGCAGCCAGAUCUUGGUCGUGUAUGGUCGUUUGGUAUUACAACUUGAAAACAAUUUCCGGUUGGUUUUCCGCCUCGAAAGGGAAAGCAAAGUCCCGCGAGAAUUGAUUUAAAAAGCAAAAUUGUUUCGUCCAAUAAAGACGCACCGACUUGCCAUACACAAUGCCCUCAUCUUGCAUGGGGACUCCCAAAUAAAUAAAUACGGAUGUUGUCGUACCGCAAAUUUAAAAAUACUAUGCAGGGACCAAAAAAAUAACCCAUCACCACCACAACAACGCUGAUGCGCUACGUCUCCCCACGCCAAUCGUCGUUGUUUGCAGCCUGCAGUACGGCAGUCAAAGUAAAACCAACGGCACGGCAUAGCUGUGGGGGGGGAGUGGAGGCGGCCGACUGCCCCCGCACAUCGACAGAUGCACCAACAGCCCGGACCGACAGACAGACGGACAGACCCCCGGGAGAGGGGGCCCACCGGCGACAUGUAUCGAGAGCGCACCUCUGCCCGCCGCUCGCGAGAAUACAAUGGUAUUGUAACACCGGUAUUUGAACGGUUAACUCUGUCCUGGUAAUACUAAUACUAAAUCAUUACUUCUCCACGGCAGCCAAGGUAUUUACCUGCAGCUGCAGCUUCAGCCGCUCAAUCACCUCCCCAGCUGUCGCGCGGCUCAGUAGCGCGAUGAGCUCAUCUAGGGCGUAUUCAGGUUGGCGAGACGCCGGCGCUGACUGGUAACGGUACGGCGCCAUGUCGUACUCGCGAGUGGAUCCGUCGUACAUCUCGCCCGUCAGCUCGUCAACCAGAAUACGCAGCCACCGCUCCGGAACCACGCCCCGGAAGAGGCUCCGUAGCCAGGGCCCUGCGUCGGCCUCGACGCCCCGCGCCGCGCGACGCAGCAGUGACCGUACGUAGUCGGC